Molecule: ribosomal RNA, 459 nt
Filed under: uncultured bacterium
Lineage: Bacteria
Description: partial 16S ribosomal RNA
Rfam family: Bacterial small subunit ribosomal RNA
Source: RNAcentral
CCUACGGGUGGCAGCAGUGAGGAAUAUUGGUCAAUGGGCGCGAGCCUGAACCAGCCACGUCGCGUGAGGGAAGACGGUCCUAUGGAUUGUAAACCUCAUUUGUCGGGGAGCAAAAGACGCCACGCGUGGCUUUCCGAGAGUACCCGACGAAAAAGCAUCGGCUAACUCCGUGCCAGCAGCCGCGGUAAUACGGGGGAUGCGAGCGUUAUCCGGAGUUAUUGGGUUUAAAGGGAGCGCAGGCGGAAGAUCAAGUCAGCGGUAAAAUUGAGAGGCUCAACCUCUUCGAGCCGUUGAAACUGGUUGUCUUGAGUGAGUGAGAAGUAGGCGGAAUGCGUGGUGUAGCGGUGAAAUGCAUAGAUAUCACGCAGAACUCCGAUUGCGAAGGCAGCAUACCGGCGCUCAACUGACGCUCAUGCACGAAAGUAUGGGUAUCGAACAGGAUUAGAUACCCUUGUAGUC